CUUUCGAAAGAAAGAUUAAUACCGGAUGGCAUAGUUUCCCCGCAUGGGAUAAUUAUUAAAGAAUUUCGGUUGUCGAUGGGGAUGCGUUCCAUUAGGCAGUUGGCGGGGUAACGGCCCACCAAACCUACGAUGGAUAGGGGUUCUGAGAGGAAGGUCCCCCACAUUGGAACUGAGACACGGUCCAAACUCCUACGGGAGGCAGCAGUGAGGAAUAUUGGUCAAUGGACGAGAGUCUGAACCAGCCAAGUAGCGUGAAGGAUGACUGCCCUAUGGGUUGUAAACUUCUUUUAUACGGGAAUAAAGUGAGCCACGUGUGGCUUUUUGUAUGUACCGUAUGAAUAAGGAUCGGCUAACUCCGUGCCAGCAGCCGCGGUAAUACGGAGGAUUCGAGCGUUAUCCGGAUUUAUUGGGUUUAAAGGGAGCGUAGGCGGGUUGUUAAGUCAGUUGUGAAAGUUUGCGGCUCAACCGUAAAAUUGCAGUUGAUACUGGCGACCUUGAGUGC
Molecule: ribosomal RNA, 502 nt
Filed under: uncultured bacterium
Lineage: Bacteria
Description: bacterial SSU rRNA
Rfam family: Bacterial small subunit ribosomal RNA
Source: RNAcentral